This 443-nucleotide ribosomal RNA is filed under the name uncultured bacterium. RNAcentral describes it as "SSU rRNA". It matches the Rfam family "Bacterial small subunit ribosomal RNA", at positions 26 to 518 of the family's 1533-position model. The record is from RNAcentral.
AGGAUGAACGCUGGCGGCGUGCCUAACACAUGCAAGUCGAACGCCCCGCAAGGGGAGUGGCAGACGGGUGAGUAACGCGUGGGAAUCUACCCAGUUCUACGGAAUAACACAGGGAAACUUGUGCUAAUACCGUAUACGCCCUACGGGGGAAAGAUUUAUCGGGAUUGGAUGAGCCCGCGUUGGAUUAGCUAGUUGGUGGGGUAAUGGCCUACCAAGGCGACGAUCCAUAGCUGGUCUGAGAGGAUGAUCAGCCACACUGGGACUGAGACACGGCCCAGACUCCUACGGGAGGCAGCAGUGGGGAAUAUUGGACAAUGGGCGCAAGCCUGAUCCAGCCAUGCCGCGUGAGUGAUGAAGGCCUUAGGGUUGUAAAGCUCUUUCAGUGGGGAAGAUAAUGACGGUACCACAGAAGAACGCCCGGCUAACUUCGUGCCAGCAGCCGC